This 287-nucleotide ribosomal RNA is filed under the name uncultured Alphaproteobacteria bacterium. RNAcentral describes it as "partial 16S ribosomal RNA". It matches the Rfam family "Bacterial small subunit ribosomal RNA", at positions 1074 to 1382 of the family's 1533-position model. The record is from RNAcentral. Lineage: Bacteria; Pseudomonadati; Pseudomonadota; Alphaproteobacteria.
GUUCGGUUAAGUCCGGCAACGAAGACGCAACCCACAUUUUUAGUUGCCAGCAUUCAGUUGGGCACUCUAUAAAAACUGCCGGUGAUAAGCCGGAGGAAGGUGUGGAUGACGUCAAGUCCUCAUGGCCCUUACGGGUUGGGCUACACACGUGCUACAAUGGUAGUGACAAUGGGUUAAUCCCAAAAAGCUAUCUCAGUUCGGAUUGGGGUCUGCAACUCGACCCCAUGAAGUCGGAAUCGCUAGUAAUCGCGUAACAGCAUGACGCGGUGAAUACGUUCCCGGGCCUU